Molecule: transfer RNA, 75 nt
Filed under: Bradyrhizobium lupini HPC(L)
Lineage: Bacteria; Pseudomonadati; Pseudomonadota; Alphaproteobacteria; Hyphomicrobiales; Nitrobacteraceae
Also listed under: 2 other names
Description: tRNA-Thr
Rfam family: tRNA
About the family: Transfer RNA (tRNA) molecules are approximately 80 nucleotides in length. Their secondary structure includes four short double-helical elements and three loops (D, anti-codon, and T loops). Further hydrogen bonds mediate the characteristic L-shaped molecular structure. tRNAs have two regions of fundamental functional importance: the anti-codon, which is responsible for specific mRNA codon recognition, and the 3' end, to which the tRNAs corresponding amino acid is attached (by aminoacyl-tRNA synthetases). tRNAs cope with the degeneracy of the genetic code in two manners: having more than one tRNA (with a specific anti-codon) for a particular amino acid; and 'wobble' base-pairing, i.e. permitting non-standard base-pairing at the 3rd anti-codon position.
Source: RNAcentral
GCCCUUGUAGCUCAGUUGGUAGAGCACCUGAUUUGUAAUCAGGGGGUCGCGGGUUCGAACCUGCCGGGGGCACCA